GACGAACGCUGGCGGCGCGCUUAACACAUGCAAGUCGAACCGAAAGGCCUGCUUUCCCUUGUGGAUUGCGGGUACUCGAGUGGCGAACGGGUGAGUAACACGUGAGUGAUCUGCCCCCAACUUGGGUAUAAGCCUGGGAAACUGGGUCUAAUUCCCGAUAGGACUGCAGGGUGGUGCCUGUGGUGGAAAACGAUUUUCUAGUGGUUGGGGAUGAGCUCGCGGCCUAUCAGCUUGUUGGUGGGGUAAUGGCCUACCAAGGCGGCGACGGGUAGCCGGCCUGAGAGGGUGGACGGCCACAUUGGGACUGAGAUACGGCCCAGACUCCUACGGGAGGCAGCAGUGGGGAAUAUUGCACAAUGGGCGGAAGCCUGAUGCAGCGACGCCGCGUGGGGGAUGACGGCCUUCGGGUUGUAAACUCCUUUCGACCGCGAGGAAGCCACCUGGUUGGAAGGGUGGUGACGGUAGUGGUAGAAGAAGCACCGGCUAACUACGUG
RNAcentral lists this ribosomal RNA (494 nucleotides) under uncultured bacterium. RNAcentral describes it as "partial 16S ribosomal RNA". It matches the Rfam family "Bacterial small subunit ribosomal RNA", at positions 28 to 507 of the family's 1533-position model. The record is from RNAcentral.